UACGUAGGGGGCAAGCGUUAUCCGGAUUUACUGGGUGUAAAGGGAGCGUAGGUGGCAAGGCAAGUCAGAUGUGAAAACCCGGGGCUCAACCCCGGGACUGCAUUUGAAACUGUCUAGCUAGAGUGCAGGAGAGGUAAGUGGAAUUCCUAGUGUAGCGGUGAAAUGCAUAGAUAUUAGGAGGAACACCAGUGGCGAAGGCGGCUUACUGGACUGUAACUGACACUGAGGCUCGAAAGCGUGGGGAGCAAACAGG
This 253-nucleotide ribosomal RNA is filed under the name Eubacterium xylanophilum. RNAcentral describes it as "partial 16S ribosomal RNA". It matches the Rfam family "Bacterial small subunit ribosomal RNA", at positions 524 to 776 of the family's 1533-position model. The record is from RNAcentral. Lineage: Bacteria; Bacillati; Bacillota; Clostridia; Eubacteriales; Eubacteriaceae.